This 640-nucleotide ribosomal RNA is filed under the name uncultured bacterium. RNAcentral's name for it is "bacterial SSU rRNA". It matches the Rfam family "Bacterial small subunit ribosomal RNA", at positions 338 to 969 of the family's 1533-position model. The record is from RNAcentral.
CCUACGGGUGGCAGCAGUCGAGAAUCAUUCACAAUGGAGGCAACUCUGAUGGUGCAACGCCGCGUGGAGGAUGACGGUCCUAGGAUUGUAAACUCCUGUCAUUGGGGAGUAAGACUUAAGCGUUAAGAGCGUUUAAGUUUGAUAGUACCCGAAGAGGAAGGGACGGCUAACUUCGUGCCAGCAGCCGCGGUAAUACGAAGGUCCCAAGCGUUGUUCGGAAUCACUGGGCGUAAAGCGUGUGCAGGCUGCGCGGAAAGUCAAAUGUGAAAGCCCGGGGCUCNACCUCGGAACUGCAUUCGAUACUCCCGUGCUGGAGUAAUGGAGAGGUCAGUGGAAUUCUCGGUGUAGCAGUGAAAUGCGUGGAUAUCGAGAGGAACAUCAAUGGCGAAGGCAACUGACUGGGCAUUUACUGACGCUCAGACACGAAGGCCAGGGUAGCGAAAGGGAUUAGAUACCCCUGUAGUCCUGGCAGUAAACGGUGCUCGCUUGGUGUGGGAGGAUUCGACCCCUUCUGUGCCGGAGCUAACGCGUUAAGCGAGCCGCCUGGGAAGUACGGUCGCAAGACUAAAACUCAAAGAAAUUGACGGGGACCCGCACAAGCGGUGGAGUAUGUGGCUUAAUUCGAUGCAACGCGAAGAAC